AGUGAACGCUGGCGGUAGGCCUAACACAUGCAAGUCGAACGGCAGCACAGGAGAGCUUGCUCUCUGGGUGGCGAGUGGCGGACGGGUGAGGAAUACAUCGGAAUCUGCCCAGUCGUGGGGGAUAACGUAGGGAAACUUACGCUAAUACCGCAUACGACCUUCGGGUGAAAGAGGGGGAUCGCAAGACCUCUCGCGAUUGGAUGAGCCGAGGUCGGAUUAGCUAGUUGGCGGGGUCAUGGCCCACCAAGGCGACGAUCCGUAACUGGUCUGAGAGGAUGGUCAGGCACAAGGGAACUGAGACACGGGCCAGACUCCUACGGGAGGCAGGAGGGGGGAAUAUUUGACAAUGGGCGAAAGCCUGAUCCAGCCAUGCCGGGGGUGUGAAGAAGGUCUUCGGAUUGUAAAGCACUUUUUGUUGGGAAGAAAGGCAUUAAGGUAAUACCCUGCGGUGUUGACGUUACCAAAAGAAUAAGCCCCGGCUAACUUCGUG
This 490-nucleotide ribosomal RNA is filed under the name uncultured bacterium. Its description in RNAcentral is "partial 16S ribosomal RNA". It matches the Rfam family "Bacterial small subunit ribosomal RNA", at positions 29 to 507 of the family's 1533-position model. The record is from RNAcentral.